This 72-nucleotide transfer RNA is filed under the name Microbacterium phage Welcome. Its description in RNAcentral is "tRNA-Tyr". Lineage: Duplodnaviria; Heunggongvirae; Uroviricota; Caudoviricetes. The record is from RNAcentral. RNAcentral also lists the same sequence under 4 other names.
GGUGGUCCGGAUUGGCGUCCGGCGCUGACUGUAAAUCAGUAGCCCUCCGAGUUCGAGUCUCGGGUCCACCAC